This 501-nucleotide ribosomal RNA is filed under the name uncultured bacterium. RNAcentral's name for it is "partial 16S ribosomal RNA". It matches the Rfam family "Bacterial small subunit ribosomal RNA", at positions 30 to 523 of the family's 1533-position model. The record is from RNAcentral.
AUUGAACGCUGGCGGCAGGCUUAACACAUGCAAGUCGAGCGGGGGAAGGUAGCUUGCUACUGGACCUAGCGGCGGACGGGUGAGUAAUGCUUAGGAAUCUGCCUAUUAGUGGGGGACAACAUCUCGAAAGGGACGCUAAUACCGCAUACGUCCUACGGGAGAAAGCAGGGGAUCUUCGGACCUUGCGCUAAUAGAUGAGCCUAAGUCGGAUUAGCUAGUUGGUGGGGUAAAGGCCUACCAAGGCGACGAUCUGUAGCGGGUCUGAGAGGAUGAUCCGACACACUGGGACUGAGACACGGCCCAGACUCCUACGGGAGGCAGCAGUGGGGAAUAUUGGACAAUGGGGGGAACCCUGAUCCAGCCAUGCCGCGUGUGUGAAGAAGGCCUUAUGGUUGUAAAGCACUUUAAGCGAGGAGGAGGCUACUUUAGUUAAUACCUAGAGAUAGUGGACGUUACUCGCAGAAUAAGCACCGGCUAACUCUGUGCCAGCCGCCGCAGUAA